RNAcentral lists this ribosomal RNA (208 nucleotides) under uncultured bacterium. Its description in RNAcentral is "partial 16S ribosomal RNA". It matches the Rfam family "Bacterial small subunit ribosomal RNA", at positions 568 to 774 of the family's 1533-position model. The record is from RNAcentral.
CGUGUAGGCGGGUCGGUGCGUCGGCCGCUGAAAUCCCCCGGCUCAACCGGGGAAGGGGCGCCGAUACGACCGGCCUGGAGCGACGUAGGGGGAACUGGAACUUCCGGUGGAGCGGUGAAAUGCGUUGAGAUCGGAAGGAACGCCCGUGGCGAAAGCGAGUUCCUGGACGUCGGCUGACGCUGAGACGCGAAAGCCAGGGGAGCGAACG